UUUCCCUUUCCCUUUCCCUUU
This 21-nucleotide unclassified non-coding RNA is filed under the name synthetic construct. The record is from RNAcentral.